This 177-nucleotide ribosomal RNA is filed under the name Corynebacterium aurimucosum. Its description in RNAcentral is "partial 23S ribosomal RNA". It matches the Rfam family "Bacterial large subunit ribosomal RNA", at positions 2740 to 2925 of the family's 2925-position model. Lineage: Bacteria; Bacillati; Actinomycetota; Actinomycetes; Mycobacteriales; Corynebacteriaceae. The record is from RNAcentral.
GCUGGUUGGCUACGUACGGAAGGGAUAACCGCUGAAAGCAUCUAAGCGGGAAGCCUGUUUUAAGAUGAGGUUUCGUAUUUGAGGUCCCCCAAAGACGAUGGGGUUGAUAGGCCAGACCUGGAAGCACUGUAAAGUGUGGAGGCUACUGGUACUAAUAGACCAAAACAAACACACACA